AGCGAACGCUAGCGGCGGGCCUAACACAUGCAAGUCGAGCGCAUACCUUCGGGUAUGAGCGGCGGACGGGUGAGUAACGCGUAGGUCAUCUACCCUUUGGUGGGGGAUAACCCAGGGAAACUUGGGCUAAUACCGCACGAGGUCUACGGAUCAAAGCCUUCGGGCGCCAGAGGAUGAGCCUGCGUCGCAUUACCUAGUUGGCGGGGUAACGGCCCACCAAGGGGACGAUGCGUAGCUGGUCUGAGAGGAUGAUCAGCCACACUGGGACUGAGACACGGCCCAGACUCCUACGGGAGGCAGCAGUGGGGAAUAUUGCGCAAUGGGGGAAACCCUGACGCAGCAACGCCGCGUGGAGGAUGAAGAUCUUUGGAUUGUAAACUUCUGUCGAUCGGGAAGAAAAGUCAAUGGUUAAUAGCCAUUGUAAUGACGUUGUACCGAUAAAGAAAGCACCGGCUAAUCUCGUGCCAGCAGCCGCGGUAAU
Molecule: ribosomal RNA, 481 nt
Filed under: uncultured bacterium
Lineage: Bacteria
Description: bacterial SSU rRNA
Rfam family: Bacterial small subunit ribosomal RNA
Source: RNAcentral